UCUUUUGCAGGUCCAAUUUGUCCAGGAUUUUUCAGAUUUGUCCGGUGGGAUUUGGGAAGGAAAGCGAUGCCAUGGUUUUAUAAGAAGCAUCGUUGGGGAGGGAUAUUUUUAUUAUACCGCUACAAUAAAGGUCGAAUUUGAGGGUCACAAUUUUGGCCUUUUGCCGGGCCGGCAGCGCCACACCCAGAAUUCAGAAGGGCGAGGGGGCAUUCUGACAUGGAAACGGCAUCAAAACAUUUUUGGUUUUUAAUGUUUUGGAUGCCAAAGUCGUCGUUUUUAUUUCGCCGAGUCGGGAAGUAGGAUUUUGUCUGUUAACCGUUGCUGCCAGGAAAAAGUCAAA
This 340-nucleotide small RNA is filed under the name Drosophila yakuba. Its description in RNAcentral is "GE28643". The record is from RNAcentral. Lineage: Eukaryota; Metazoa; Arthropoda; Insecta; Diptera; Drosophilidae.